Molecule: long non-coding RNA, 659 nt
Filed under: Homo sapiens (human)
Lineage: Eukaryota; Metazoa; Chordata; Mammalia; Primates; Hominidae
Description: HSALNT0200440
Source: RNAcentral
CUGGGAGGUAAUUGAAUCAUGGGAGUGGUUAACCUCAUGCUGUUCUCAUGAUAGUGAGUGAGUUCUCACGAGAUCUAAUGGUUUCUUAAGGGGCUUUUCCCCCUUUUGCUCAGCACUUGUCCUUCCUUCUGCUAUGUAAGAUGUGCCUGUGCUCCUCCCUUGCCUUCUGCCUUGAUUGUGAGGCCUCGCCAGCCAUGUGGAACUGUGAGUUCACGAAACCUUUUUUUCUUUAUAAAUUACCCAGUCUUGGGUAUUUCUUCAUAGCAGUAUGAAAAUGGACUAAUACAGGGGCCAAACGUGACUGUGACAAACACCUCCAGUUUUAACCUGUUUCCUAGAGAAGGGGAGACGGGGUUUUACCAUGUUGCUCAGCCUAGUAUUGAAAUCCUGGACUCAAGCAAUCUGACCACCUACGCCUCCCAAACUGCUGGGAUUACAGGUAGUCCAGGCGGGUCAGGAAGCAGGAGUGGAGGAUGUCUUCUUGACCUAUGAGAUAAGAAAAACAAACCCAUCUGACGCAGGAAUGGCAUUUGUUCCAAUGCCUAAUUUUAGAAGCAGAGUGUAAGGAGAUGAGUUGAAGCAUACAUGAGUAAUACCAAUAAAAAGUUGAGAUGGAAUGUUCUUGUUCUCAACUUGAAUGCUGGGCUGUGGAACCAAAG